Bubalus bubalis (water buffalo) is the source of this 376-nucleotide long non-coding RNA. RefSeq lists it as uncharacterized. The record is from RefSeq and is a predicted model, not a curated record. The transcript is spliced from 3 exons. Lineage: Eukaryota; Metazoa; Chordata; Mammalia; Artiodactyla; Bovidae.
CACCAGAUUCCUGGCUCCUGAGAACACUGUGUGUCUCGCUCAGUGCAGCAUCCCGGCUUCCAGCACCAGGCCCACCGCGCACACUACACAGCAUUCAGAACUCCCCCAGCCAGGGACUGAACCCAUGCCCCACUGCAGUGGAAGUUAACCACUGGACCACCAGGGAAGUCCGUACGUGUCAACUUGACUGGGCUAAGAGAUGCCUAGGGAGCAGCGCUCUAUGUCAGCACGAAGAAGUUACAGGAGAUGGACCUCUGCCCCUAAUCUCACAGAAGUGGAAUGAUGUCUGACACGUGGGGAUUUGUAAGCAUCUCAUUUGCCUCUUCGCUGUUUAUCUAUUUCUGUUCCCCUUAAACCUUAAUCGUAAAAAUGAGAU